GACGAACGCUGGCGGCGUGCCUAACACAUGCAAGUCGAACGAAGCAUUUGGAGCUGAUCUCUUCGGAGUGACGCACCUUAUGACUUAGUGGCGGACGGGUGAGUAACACGUGAGCAACCUGCCUUUCAGAGUGGAAUAACAGUUGGAAACGGCUGCUAAUACCGCAUAACGUCAUAGUACCGCAUGAUACCUUGACCAAAGAUUUAUCGCUGAGAGAUGGGCUCGCGUCCGAUUAGGUAGAUGGUGGGGUAACGGCCUACCAUGCCGACGAUCGGUAGCCGGACUGAGAGGUUGAUCGGCCACAUUGGGACUGAGACACGGCCCAGACUCCUACGGGAGGCAGCAGUGGGGGAUAUUGCACAAUGGGCGCAAGCCUGAUGCAGCAACGCCGCGUGCGGGAAGACGGCCUUCGGGUUGUAAACCGCUGUCCUUGGGGAAGAAACAAAUGACGGUACCCAAGAAGGAAGCCACGGCUAACUACGUG
RNAcentral lists this ribosomal RNA (484 nucleotides) under uncultured bacterium. RNAcentral's name for it is "bacterial SSU rRNA". It matches the Rfam family "Bacterial small subunit ribosomal RNA", at positions 28 to 507 of the family's 1533-position model. The record is from RNAcentral.